CGGGGUGUGGCUCAGCCCGGUAGAGCGCCUCGUUCGGGACGAGGAGGUCGGAGGUUCGAAUCCUCUCACCCCGA
RNAcentral lists this transfer RNA (74 nucleotides) under Ignavibacteria bacterium. RNAcentral describes it as "tRNA-Pro". It matches the Rfam family "tRNA". From Rfam's summary of the family: Transfer RNA (tRNA) molecules are approximately 80 nucleotides in length. Their secondary structure includes four short double-helical elements and three loops (D, anti-codon, and T loops). RNAcentral also lists the same sequence under 1 other name. Lineage: Bacteria; Pseudomonadati; Ignavibacteriota; Ignavibacteria. The record is from RNAcentral.